This 496-nucleotide ribosomal RNA is filed under the name uncultured bacterium. RNAcentral describes it as "partial 16S ribosomal RNA". It matches the Rfam family "Bacterial small subunit ribosomal RNA", at positions 30 to 523 of the family's 1533-position model. The record is from RNAcentral.
AUUGAACGCUGGCGGAAUGCUUUACACAUGCAAGUCGAACGGUAGAGGGGGCAACCCCUCGAGAGUGGCGAACGGGUGAGUAAUAUAUCGGAACGUGCCCAGUCGUGGGGGAUAACGUAGCGAAAGUUACGCUAAUACCGCAUACGAUCUAAGGAUGAAAGCGGGGGAUCGCAAGACCUCGCGCGAUUGGAGCGGCCGAUAUCAGAGUAGGUAGUUGGUGGGGUAAAGGCUCACCAAGCCAACGAUCUGUAGCUGGUCUGAGAGGACGACCAGCCAAACUGGAACUGAGACACGGGCCAGACUCCUACGGGAGGCAGCAGUGGGGAAUUUUGGACAAUGGACGCAAGUCUGAUCCAGCCAUUCCGCGUGCAGGAUGAAGGCCCUCGGGUUGUAAACUGCUUUUGUACGGAACGAAAAGGUCUCUCUUAAUACGGGGGACUCAUGACGGUACCGUAAGAAUAAGCACCGGCUAACUACGUGCCAGCAGCCGCAGUAA